UCCUUAUUGUCAGUCAGUGCGGACGUUCAUACGGUUUUAGUUAGAGGUGUCGUUAUAGUUAUCGUUGGUCAGUGUGCAGACGUUCAUACUGUUUUAGUUAAAGGUGUCGUUAUAGUUAUCGUUGGUCAGUGUGCGGACGUUCAUACUAUUUUAGUUAUAGGUGUCGUUAUAGUUAUCGUUGGCUCUGUGGAGGGGUCGUAACACUCAGACACGCUGAGCUGGAAAGUGUUCUGUGUCCGUGUUCAUGGAAGUAUGUACAGAUGUAACUGAUAUCAUGGAAUCUUGGUCGGGGUUAGACGGUCAAAUGGUGUUCCACAUGUGGGUCUUGGCUAUCACACCUUAUGCUGUUUUUUUUUUUUUUUUUACCAGUCCCUCCCUCUCCCUCUCUGGCUGCAAAAGCAGACAAGACACUGUCUCUGUCUCCGUCUCCACCCCCAACCCCCCCCCCCCCCCCCCCUGUGUGGCAGAAGAGCACAGCCUCACCAGGAAGGAGAUAGGCAGGGAAUGAGGGAAGGGAGCCAGGGGGUGGAGUCAGCGAGGAUGAGGGGAUGCUGGGAAGGAGGAGGACUUAGAGUUGGGGGUGUGCGCUGCAUGUGUGUGUGUGUGUGUGUGUGUGUGUGUGUG
Molecule: long non-coding RNA, 624 nt
Organism: Clupea harengus (Atlantic herring)
Lineage: Eukaryota; Metazoa; Chordata; Actinopteri; Clupeiformes; Clupeidae
Source: Ensembl